This 75-nucleotide transfer RNA is filed under the name Puniceicoccales bacterium. Its description in RNAcentral is "tRNA-Asn". It matches the Rfam family "tRNA". From Rfam's summary of the family: Transfer RNA (tRNA) molecules are approximately 80 nucleotides in length. Their secondary structure includes four short double-helical elements and three loops (D, anti-codon, and T loops). Further hydrogen bonds mediate the characteristic L-shaped molecular structure. tRNAs have two regions of fundamental functional importance: the anti-codon, which is responsible for specific mRNA codon recognition, and the 3' end, to which the tRNAs corresponding amino acid is attached (by aminoacyl-tRNA synthetases). tRNAs cope with the degeneracy of the genetic code in two manners: having more than one tRNA (with a specific anti-codon) for a particular amino acid; and 'wobble' base-pairing, i.e. permitting non-standard base-pairing at the 3rd anti-codon position. The record is from RNAcentral. Lineage: Bacteria; Pseudomonadati; Verrucomicrobiota; Opitutia; Puniceicoccales.
UGCCCGAUAGCUCAGUGGUAGAGCAGGUGACUGUUAAUCACUUGGUCGUAGGUUCGAGCCCUACUCGGGCAGCCA